GCAGUCGUGGUCUAGUGGAUCAGGUGAUUGACUGGGGAUCAAAAGGUCACUGGUUCAAUCUCCAGCUCCACUGGG
This 75-nucleotide transfer RNA is filed under the name Danionella cerebrum. RNAcentral's name for it is "tRNA-Pro". The record is from RNAcentral. Lineage: Eukaryota; Metazoa; Chordata; Actinopteri; Cypriniformes; Danionidae.